Molecule: ribosomal RNA, 408 nt
Filed under: uncultured bacterium
Lineage: Bacteria
Description: partial 16S ribosomal RNA
Rfam family: Bacterial small subunit ribosomal RNA
Source: RNAcentral
GACGAACGCUGGCGGCGUGCUUAACACAUGCAGGUCGAACGAAGUGGCGAACGGGUGAGUAAUACGUGGGUAACCUGCCCUCCUUUUUGGGAUAAGCCUUGGAAACGGGGUCUAAUACCGAAUAAAGGGGGUUGGGCUCGCGGCCUAUCAGCUUGUUGGUGGGGUGAUGGCCUACCAAGGCGGUGACGGGUAGCCGGCCUGUGAGGGUGUCCGGCCAGAUUAGGACUAAGAUAAGGCCCAGACUCAUAAGGGGUGCAGCGUUGGGGGUGAUUGCACAGUGGGCGGAAGCGUGAAGCAGCGACGCCGCGUGGGGGAUGGAGACAUUGGGGUUGUAAACCUCUUUCGCAAUCGAACGGAUAGGUGGAUAAGAGGCGCCGGCUAACUACGUGCCAGCAGCCGCGGUAAUAG